CAUGAAGCUGGAUUCGCUAGUAAUCGCGCAUCAGCCACGGCGCGGUGAAUACGUUCCCGGGCCUUGUGCACACCGCCCGUCAAGCCAUGGAAGCCGGGAGUGCCUGAAGUGUGCAACCGCAAGGAGCGCCCUAAGGUAAAACCGGUGACUGGGGCUAAGUCGUAACAAGGUAUC
This 174-nucleotide ribosomal RNA is filed under the name uncultured bacterium. RNAcentral describes it as "partial 16S ribosomal RNA". It matches the Rfam family "Bacterial small subunit ribosomal RNA", at positions 1319 to 1500 of the family's 1533-position model. The record is from RNAcentral.